Molecule: ribosomal RNA, 465 nt
Filed under: uncultured bacterium
Lineage: Bacteria
Description: bacterial SSU rRNA
Rfam family: Bacterial small subunit ribosomal RNA
Source: RNAcentral
GUCCAGACUCCUACGGGAGGCAGCAGUGAGGAAUAUUGGUCAAUGGUCGGGAGACUGAACCAGCCAAGCCGCGUGAGGGAUGAAGGUACAGAGUAUCGUAAACCUCUUUUGUCAGGGAACAAAGGCGGGGACGCGUCCCCGGAUGAGUGUACCUGAAGAAAAAGCAUCGGCUAACUCCGUGCCAGCAGCCGCGGUAAUACGGAGGAUGCGAGCGUUAUCCGGAUUUAUUGGGUUUAAAGGGUGCGUAGGCGGAGUGUCAAGUCAGCGGUAAAAUUUCGGGGCUCAACCCCGUCGUGCCGUUGAAACUGACACCCUUGAGUGAGUGAGAAGUAAGCGGAAUGCGUGGUGUAGCGGUGAAAUGCAUAGAUAUCACGCAGAACCCCGAUUGCGAAGGCAGCAUACCGGCGCCCUACUGACGCUGAGGCACGAAAGUGCGGGUAUCGAACAGGAUUAGAUACCCGUGUA